GUAGUUGACUCCGUGCUCGAGGACACGCUGGCGGCGUGCUUAACACAUGCAAGUCGAACGAUGAAGGAGAGCUUGCUCUUUGGAUUAGUGGCGAACGGGUGAGUAACACGUGAGUAACCUGCCCUGGACUCUGGGAUAACUGCGGGAAACUGUAGCUAAUACCGGAUAUGACCUUGGAUCGCAUGAUUCUUGGUGGAAAGUUUUUCGGUCUGGGAUGGACUCGCGGCCUAUCAGCUUGUUGGUGAGGUAAUGGCUCACCAAGGCGUCGACGGGUAGCCGGCCUGAGAGGGUGACCGGCCACACUGGGACUGAGACACGGCCCAGACUCCUACGGGAGGCAGCAGUGGGGAAUAUUGCACAAUGGGCGCAAGCCUGAUGCAGCAACGCCGCGUGGGGGAGUGACGGCCUUCGGGUUGUAAACCUCUUUUAGUUAAGGAAGAAGCCUUCGGGUGACGGUACUUGCAGAAAAAGACACCGGCUAACUACGUG
Molecule: ribosomal RNA, 489 nt
Filed under: uncultured Microbacteriaceae bacterium
Lineage: Bacteria; Bacillati; Actinomycetota; Actinomycetes; Micrococcales; Microbacteriaceae
Description: bacterial SSU rRNA
Rfam family: Bacterial small subunit ribosomal RNA
Source: RNAcentral